UAUGCUUUAUUUACACUCUUUAAAAUAAAUUAAAACAAGAAAAAAUGGUCAGUACGAAAUCCCCGCUCUUUCAGAAGGCAAUCUUCUUAUAUUAAAAACAAUAAUAGUAAAAAACAAAUUUCAACACAAGGUCGCUAUUCUAAAAUUAAGUGUCCUUCACAAAGUCCAAUUUCAAAAGAGUGAUCUCUCAUUAGUUUCAAAAGUAAGAUGUAUUGAUAUUUAAAUUUUAAAUCGGUGUUUUAUUUUUAAAUGUGUGUUAUUUUAAAAAAAAAUCCUAUUUUUAAUUAGGAGUAAGAAAAUGUUCAGACCGAUUAAUACGGGUUUACGGCCUAAGAGCUUCGCUAUACUGACAAGAAAAAAAAGGAUUGUACAUCAACAAUGUAAAUAAAUUUUAUCAAAGGAUAAUGCAUGUUCAUUAAAUCUUGAUGACAAAGGCAUGUUUCUUUAGACUUGUUUUGUUUUCUAAAUGUUAGUUGUAACUCAAAUUAGACAGUUGCUUGAUUGUUUUUAUUCUUUUUUGGUAUGGCUAGUUUUUGUUUCUAAUAUAGUUAGGAAUGACAACGAGGGGGAGAGAGACUAUUUUAAGUGUUACCAACUCCGCAUCUACAACUUCAAUACAAUCUCCGCACUUGCAUUUGUACUUGUCGGUAAUGACUUUUUAACAUCCACCUUCACACUCAACGGGGACAGGUUUCCCCGCUCCACUCCCACUUCCACUCAAAAAAUUAGAAUUUAUUUAUUCAUAGCAUCAAAAAUCAAUAAUUUGACUAAAUAGUAACAUUCAACCUAAGUUCUAAAAUUCAAAUAAUCAAAAUCAUUAAAAAUAAAUCAAAAUUAAUCAAGAAUCAUAAUAAACUAAAAUUAUUAUAAAUCAAGAAUAUAAACCAUAACAAAAUAAACCAUAUGAAAAGAGUUUUUUGUUACAGUAGAUUUCACAAUAAAUAAACUAUGGCAGAUUGUAGAACUUCCAUAUAAAUAAAUAAAUAAAUACAAUUGAUUUCAAAAUAGAGUGAAAAUAAAUAACACAAUGAGAUUGAAGGCCGAUGAUGUUCUGUCAACGAACUUAGCUUAUCAUGGGAAACAAGAAUGAAAGACUAGGUUGUUUUUCUUUUGUUACAAAAGGCAAGGCUGUGAAAUGGUAUCGAUUGAUAAUUCUUAAGAAUAUAAUCUGUUAAAUUAAUAAAAAAAACAAGUUAGAAUCACAAACAUACAAGCAAGAAUCACAAACGACAAACUGGAGACAAUGGAGAAAGCACGCGGAGGAGGACGAUCGACAGAGAAUAGAGACGAUGCUGGGAGGAGGACAAAGACGGCGCACAGAGGAGGACACGCAGAGGAGAACAUAGACGACACACGAAGGAGGACGAAGACAUCGCACAGACAUGAGGGAGGACGACUGGGACAAAAAAAGUGAGGGUAGAGAGUAUGGAUGACAACAUAACCUGCACUGGCAAGUACGCACCCAAACCCGUUUGUUUUGGGCAGAGAAAACCCGCUUUGAUUGGGUGCGGAUGAGGAUUUUCCCCAAAAUUAAAAUUCGACGGCGGGGUGAUACCAACUUGUAACUCAAUUUUCUCUAUGAAUUCUCAAUGAAAAUUAGUGAAACCAAUGUCUAUUUUGAAGAUAAUUAAGUCUAGUUUCAAAUAUGAUAUAAAUCAGUUCAAACCAUUAUCAACGAAGAAAGUUAUGAACAACAUACCUAAGGUGUAUCUUUGCUGGUUUAAAGACAACAUUAUACUAUUUUUAUUUCAAUCUUUAUAUUCUCAAUUUCAUAUGCUCAACUAAGUAAAAUAUCUUCAAAAUUCAGCAUAAAAUCAAUUAAUUACGAAUACUAAACAAUUAUCAUCUCAUCACCAAGCCAACCACAACACUCAAUAAUCAUAAUAAAACAACAACUGUUCAUAAUAAUUAAUACAAACACUUAAUAUGUAUUCUUAAUAUUCAUUGAUAUCAAAUCAAAAGGAUUAUCUCAUUACUCAAACAUGCAAAUCAUAAACAUUUAUUAGCAACAUAUAAUCAAGAUUUCUAAGCGCACAUAAGAGAGGUUUUAAGAAAAUUUUCUAUGUUACCUUUAAGAAUGAAAAUCAAAGGAGAUGAAAUCCACCAUUGUUGAGUUUUAUGUUUCCUUUUCAAACAUUCAAGAAUCCUAACUCAAAAGUUGACUCAUUCUUUCUCUAUUCCCCUUCCAUGGUUGAACCAUUAAUCUUCUAUAUCUUCUUGUUUUCUUGUCGUCAUUCUUCUUUAUUCUAUUCAUCCCUCACAUCUCCUUCCUCUAUCACAAUUUCCCUUGUCUCUUUUUUCUUUCUAUCAGCUCUCUUGUUAUUGCUUAUUUUAUUUUAUUUUAUUUUAUUUUCAUCUCAUCUCAACUCUC
This 2371-nucleotide long non-coding RNA is filed under the name Cicer arietinum (chickpea). Its description in RNAcentral is "long non-coding RNA (CARI_LNC002094)". Lineage: Eukaryota; Viridiplantae; Streptophyta; Magnoliopsida; Fabales; Fabaceae. The record is from RNAcentral.